Molecule: transfer RNA, 85 nt
Filed under: Erysipelotrichaceae bacterium
Lineage: Bacteria; Bacillati; Bacillota; Erysipelotrichia; Erysipelotrichales; Erysipelotrichaceae
Description: tRNA-Tyr
Rfam family: tRNA
About the family: Transfer RNA (tRNA) molecules are approximately 80 nucleotides in length. Their secondary structure includes four short double-helical elements and three loops (D, anti-codon, and T loops). Further hydrogen bonds mediate the characteristic L-shaped molecular structure. tRNAs have two regions of fundamental functional importance: the anti-codon, which is responsible for specific mRNA codon recognition, and the 3' end, to which the tRNAs corresponding amino acid is attached (by aminoacyl-tRNA synthetases). tRNAs cope with the degeneracy of the genetic code in two manners: having more than one tRNA (with a specific anti-codon) for a particular amino acid; and 'wobble' base-pairing, i.e. permitting non-standard base-pairing at the 3rd anti-codon position.
Source: RNAcentral
GGGGGGAUAGCGAAGUGGCUAAACGCGGUUGACUGUAAAUCAACUCUCCCUGAGUUCGGCGGUUCGAAUCCGUCUCCCCCCACCA